UUUUUGUGUGUAAAAUUAGGUAGUGGCAGUGGAAGACUAUAUUAAUCAGCUUUUCACUGCCACUACCUAAUUUCUCAGAUGGAAA
MicroRNA precursor from Cercocebus atys (sooty mangabey), 85 nucleotides. Lineage: Eukaryota; Metazoa; Chordata; Mammalia; Primates; Cercopithecidae. The record is from Ensembl.